Long non-coding RNA from Hyaena hyaena (striped hyena), 219 nucleotides. RefSeq lists it as uncharacterized. The record is from RefSeq and is a predicted model, not a curated record. The transcript has 3 exons. Lineage: Eukaryota; Metazoa; Chordata; Mammalia; Carnivora; Hyaenidae.
GAUUUAGAGUCCAUCAGUGGCACCAGAUGAAGUGUUUACAGCUCAUCAGUAAAUCUGACCUCUUCCAGAACUGAAGCAGUCUGACUGGAUCUCUCACUAUUCUCUGACAGAAUCCAUCUCCUUUCCUCCUUGGACUUCAGUACUAUGUUGAAUAAAGUGGUGAAGUGGGAGUCCUUGUCUUGUGCCUGACCUUCGGGGAAAAGCUCUCAGUUUUUAAAC